This 286-nucleotide unclassified non-coding RNA is filed under the name fungal sp. Its description in RNAcentral is "partial internal transcribed spacer region". The stretch from base 1 to 46 matches the Rfam family "Eukaryotic small subunit ribosomal RNA", at positions 1786 to 1831 of the family's 1831-position model. Lineage: Eukaryota; Fungi. The record is from RNAcentral.
AAGUCGUAACAAGGUUUCCGUAGGUGAACCUGCGGAAGGAUCAUUACAAAUGCACGAAGCAUCUUAUUGGACCCUGUUGAAUAGUAUAUAUCACCAUGGGAGGGGCGGGGGCUAGCCAAUCACAUGAUCGGUGGCCCUUGCCCCUUUCUUUAUGGACACUGCAUAGUAUAUGGACAGAGGGGCGCAGUGUGCGCAUGUGAUACAAUCUAUCCAUGUGCGCACCGUGCCCCGUCAUUUAAAUGAAUCGUAAUGUGACCAACUUUUAACAAUGGAUCUCUUGGCUCUU